Molecule: ribosomal RNA, 464 nt
Filed under: Georissa filiasaulae
Lineage: Eukaryota; Metazoa; Mollusca; Gastropoda; Cycloneritida; Hydrocenidae
Description: partial 16S ribosomal RNA
Rfam family: Bacterial large subunit ribosomal RNA
Source: RNAcentral
CAAUUAUKGGUCAUACCUKCCCACUSAUAAAAUUUUAACGGCCGCAGUACCCUGACUGUGCAAAGGUAGCAUAAUCAUUUGUCUUAUAAUUGAAGACUAGAAUGAACGGUCUAACGCGGGCGAAACUGUCUCACAAAUGUAAUAAUAAAUUAAUUUAUUGGUCAAAAAGCCAAUAUACUAUUAUUAGACGAGAAGACCCUACUGAGCUUAAUUGUUAACUUUUAAUUACCUAAAAACAAAAAUUUUGUUGGGGCGACAAAGGAACUACAUAACCUUCCUUUAACAACCAAAUCUGCAAAAUUUAUAACGAUCCAUUUCUAAUGAUCAAAUACUAAGUUACCAUAGGGAUAACAGCAUAAUUCUUUUCAAGAGCCCUCAUCGAAAAAAGAGUUUGUGACCUCGAUGUUGGACUAAGGUACACUAAAGACGCAACCGUUUCUAGUUAUAGUCUGWUCGACUAACAC